This 336-nucleotide ribosomal RNA is filed under the name uncultured Anoxybacillus sp. RNAcentral describes it as "bacterial SSU rRNA". It matches the Rfam family "Bacterial small subunit ribosomal RNA", at positions 1045 to 1382 of the family's 1533-position model. Lineage: Bacteria; Bacillati; Bacillota; Bacilli; Caryophanales; Anoxybacillaceae. The record is from RNAcentral.
AUGGUUGUCGUCAGCUCGUGUCGUGAGAUGUUGGGUUAAGUCCCGCAACGAGCGCAACCCUCGACCUUAGUUGCCAGCAUUCAGUUGGGCACUCUAAGGUGACCGCCGGCUAAAAGUCGGAGGAAGGUGGGGAUGACGUCAAAUCAUCAUGCCCCUUAUGACCUGGGCUACACACGUGCUGCAAUGGGCGGUACAAAGGGUCGCGAACUCGCGAGGGGGAGCCAAUCCCAAAAAGCCGCUCUCAGUUCGGAUUGCAGGCUGCAACUCGCCUGCAUGAAGCCGGAAUCGCUAGUAAUCGCGGAUCAGCAUGCCGCGGUGAAUACGUUCCCGGGCCUU